UGGGGAAUAUUGGGCAAUGGGCGCAAGCCUGACCCAGCAACGCCGCGUGAGUGAAGAAGGCCUUCGGGUCGUAAAACUCUGUCCUUAGGGAAGAAUAAUGACGGUACCUAAGGAGGAAGCUCCGGCUAACUACGUGCCAGCAGCCGCGGUAAUACGUAGGGAGCAAGCGUUGUCCGGAAUUACUGGGCGUAAAGGGUGCGUAGGCGGUUAUGUAAGUCAGAUGUGAAAUACCCGGGCUCAACCUGGGGGGUGCAUUUGAAACUGUGUGACUUGAGUGCAGGAGAGGAAAGCGGAAUUCCUGGUGUAGCGGUGGAAUGCGUAGAUAUCAGGAGGAACACCGGUGGCGAAGGCGGCUUUCUGGACUGUAACUGACGCUGAGGCACGAAAGCGUGGGGAGCGAACAGG
Molecule: ribosomal RNA, 405 nt
Filed under: uncultured prokaryote
Also listed under: 1 other name
Description: bacterial SSU rRNA
Rfam family: Bacterial small subunit ribosomal RNA
Source: RNAcentral